RNAcentral lists this ribosomal RNA (460 nucleotides) under uncultured bacterium. RNAcentral describes it as "partial 16S ribosomal RNA". It matches the Rfam family "Bacterial small subunit ribosomal RNA", at positions 338 to 795 of the family's 1533-position model. The record is from RNAcentral.
CCUACGGGCGGCAGCAGUGAGGAAUAUUGGUCAAUGGACGAGAGUCUGAACCAGCCAAGUAGCGUGAAGGAUGACUGCCCUAUGGGUUGUAAACUUCUUUUAUAAAGGAAUAAAACGAGGCACGUGUGCCUCUUUGCAUGUACUUUAUGAAUAAGGAUCGGCUAACUCCGCGCCAGCAGCCGCGGUAAUACGGAGGAUCCGAGCGUUAUCCGGAUUUAUUGGGUUUAAAGGGAGCGUAGAUGGGUUGUUAAGUCAGUUGUGAAAGUUUGCGGCUCAACCGUAAAAUUGCAAUUGAUACUGGCAGUCUUGAGUACAGUUGAGGUAGGCGGAAUUCGUGGUGUAGCGGUGAAAUGCUUAGAUAUCACGAAGAACCCCGAUUGCGAAGGCAGCUUACUAAACUGUGACUGACAUUGAUGCUCGAAAGUGUGGGUAUCAAACAGGAUUAGAUACCCUUGUAGUC